This is a non-coding RNA of Passer montanus (Eurasian tree sparrow), 382 nucleotides long. Lineage: Eukaryota; Metazoa; Chordata; Aves; Passeriformes; Passeridae. The record is from the annotation of a RefSeq genome assembly.
AUGUUUGAGCUGUUCCCAUCCCCAUCUCCCCUUUUCCCCGCAGGGCUCCGGGCGGCCGUGACCCUGCUGGAGUGCGGGGGGGACCUCCAGCCCCCCGGGGGGUCCCUGCGCCUCCUCUGCCGAGGCUCCGGGUUCAAUUUUGGCAGUUUUGGGAUGGGCUGGAUGCGCCAGAGACCCGGGCAGGCGCUGGAGUGGGUUGCAGGGGUCAACACUGGUGGCGACACCGAGUACGCGCCAUCGGUGCAGGGCCGGUUCAGGAUCUCCAGGGACAAGGGGCAGAGCUCGGUGACGCUGACCAUGAACAACCUCAAGGACGAGGAUUCCGCCGUCUAUUUCUGUGCCAAAGGUCCUGGUGGUGGUGCUACUCCUGCUGGUUAUAUUG